GGCCUCGUAGCUCAGGUGGCUAGAGUGUCGGCUGUACUAAGGCAUUACCUUUGCUGGCGUGGGUUCAAACCCCACCGAGGCCA
Molecule: transfer RNA, 83 nt
Filed under: Schistocephalus solidus
Lineage: Eukaryota; Metazoa; Platyhelminthes; Cestoda; Diphyllobothriidea; Diphyllobothriidae
Rfam family: tRNA
About the family: Transfer RNA (tRNA) molecules are approximately 80 nucleotides in length. Their secondary structure includes four short double-helical elements and three loops (D, anti-codon, and T loops). Further hydrogen bonds mediate the characteristic L-shaped molecular structure. tRNAs have two regions of fundamental functional importance: the anti-codon, which is responsible for specific mRNA codon recognition, and the 3' end, to which the tRNAs corresponding amino acid is attached (by aminoacyl-tRNA synthetases). tRNAs cope with the degeneracy of the genetic code in two manners: having more than one tRNA (with a specific anti-codon) for a particular amino acid; and 'wobble' base-pairing, i.e. permitting non-standard base-pairing at the 3rd anti-codon position.
Source: Rfam by way of RNAcentral